UGGCGUUUGGCAUACGCAGG
Molecule: unclassified non-coding RNA, 20 nt
Filed under: Chlamydomonas reinhardtii
Lineage: Eukaryota; Viridiplantae; Chlorophyta; Chlorophyceae; Chlamydomonadales; Chlamydomonadaceae
Description: small RNA Cre_3337
Source: RNAcentral